AUCAAAAAGAAAAUGGAUUACGUACCUCAAAAAGUUGUCGAAGACAAAGAGUAUAUAUAGAUAGCCUCAUCUAUACUAUUAAUUGGGAAUCAUUCUAACUUAAAUAACCUUAUAAAAUGUAAAAAAUUAUUAAAAUUGCCAUUGGAAAAUUUACAACCUACGAUUACAUUACAGAUUUUGUCAAAGGGCAUAAUAGAUAAUUUGCAGACAAUUACACGCGGAUCUACAUUCGGAUCUUGGAGCCAUGAUUCGGAUCCAAUAAAUUCAGCUUGCUGGGCUUAGUCGACAUGGCCCAAUAAAUUUCUCUCGCUUUUAGUACUCACAUCUGCAUUAAUUCAAAUUACCACAAUUAGUUUCGUGCAUAGCAAAAUAUUUCCCUAACAAACAAACAUAUAUAUUCUCCUCUUCACCGAUAUUUCCACAACAACUCAAUCCCAUAUAAUCAGAUGAUUAAAACUAAACUUGCAAAAUAUUUCCCUAACAAACAAACAUAUAUAUUCUCCUCUUCACCGAUAUUUCCACAACAACUCAAUCCCAUAUAAUCAUAUGAUUAAAACUAAACUUAUCUCUUUAUAUUUGAUAUCCUUGAUACCAAAAACUACAAACUCUAUCUAUUCAUAUCGGAAUAAAUUAAGCAUAUACCAUAACUAUUUUUAUUCUCAAAUAUUUUCUUAGGCGAUAAUUCUCUAAAUCCUAAGCAACCCUAAACGUCUUCUAUCUAUUAUAAAUAUAGAAAUUAAACAACAUUCUCAAUACUCAAUAACCUAUCAAACCACCUCUAUACCAAAUAAAAAAUGGCUCUUUCCAUCACCGAACUGAAUGCAGUGAAACCAUUCAAAACUCAAUGGAAGAUCCAAGUGAAAAUCGUCCAUUCGUGGAUUCAAUACACCCAAUAUUCUGGGGAGACUCUCGAGAUGGUUCUUGCUGAUACAACUGUAAGUAUCUUUUUACCAAUAGUAUAGAUUUACUCUUUUAAUGGGUAUGUAUUCAUCUAAUGUUAAAUUCUCCUAAUUUGCUAAAUACAGGGUACCUUGAUUCAUGCAACUAUCAAGAAACAGCAAGUCAACAAAUUUCAAAGGCUCAUCACAACUGGAGAGUGGAGAACUGUGGAAAAUUUCACAGUUGCAAAAUCUACUGGAAAGUACCGGCCAACCAGACUUCCAUUCAAGAUGACCCUCAUGAAUACGACUGCUAUAAGUCGUAUUCCUUCUAUUUCUGAGGAGUUUUACUUUGAUUUUGCUAACUUUCCAGACAUUCUGAAUGUUAAUGGAUUGAAUGAAAACAUCUUGAUUGGUAUUUUUCAUUCCUCCUAAUUCUGUAUAUAGUGUUUAAAGCAAAAAAAUAGCAAUCUAACACCAUUUCAUAUAUUCUACAGAUGUUCUUGGUCAGGUCGUGAGUUUAGGUGAGAUGACAACUCACGAUGUCAACAACAAAGCCACCAAAAGAUUUGAGUUUGAACUGCGUGAUACAAAGUUUGUGAUCUAUUUACUCUAUUAUUUUUUUCAAACAACUGUCUAUUUUUUAAUACAAAAUCUAUCAUUUAUCUAUUAUAGUGAUGAACGCUUGACAUGUACUCUUUGGGGGAGGUUUGCUGAGAGAAUGUGGGAUGCAUGUCAAAAUGGAGGCAAUGAAAGGGUCAUUUGUUUGAUUCGCCUUGCUAAAAUUGGUUCAUUCAAAGGUAUAUUGUUUUGGAUUAUUUACAUUUGGAUGCUUAAUAUGUUUAUUACAUUAUUAGAUAUUACUAAUAUAUUGCAAAUUCAAUAGGCGAAAGAUCUAUUUCAAAUGCCUUUGACAUGUCUUUGUUGGAAAUAAAUCCAAACUAUCCUGUUGUCCAAGAUUUUGUGAACAAGUAAGUUUCUGAAAAAACUUAAAAUAUACCUAAUAUUUGCUUUACUAACGUAUUUACUUAUAUUAAUUCUCUUAUCUUACAUUGAACAGCUUGCCAGCAGACGUCCCUGUACUUACUAUUCAAGAAGUGAUGCCUAAGGAUACCAAAAUCAUUAAGAAGAAGGCAUAUUUUCAGACUUUUCCCAGGAAAACCAUUUCUGAAGUUUUUGAAGCCACUGAAGUAAGUAUUUAUCAUAGAUUUUGAAAUCAAAUCUAUAUAUUUAAAUAUAAAGACUAAUAUGUUUCUACUAUGUGUCUAGGUUGGUAAGUGCAAUGUUAUUUGUACUAUCUUGAAAGUGGACACAGACUAUGCUUGGUAUUUCUUUAGCUGUCUUAAGUGUAGCAAGACAGCGUAUAAGAUACCAAAAAUUGAAAAUGAGAUUGUCAAAAAAGGGAAGAAGCCAUUGUUUUGGUGUCCAACAUGUAAAGAAGAUACUCCUAAGGUCUUACCAAGGUAACUACAAUAUUUAUAUUCUUUGGAUACACGAUAUUUUAUAAGAAACUUUCUAACUCCUUUAUAUUAAAAUUUUGUGAUAUAGGUACAUGUUAAACCUUGCAGUGAUGGAUAACACUAGAAAUACUAUGUGUAAGUUGUUUGACAAAACAGCAGCUGAGAUCAUCGGAGUGUCUGCAGAGGAUCUUUUGGAAGGGAAUUGGGAUGAGGUAGUAACAUUUUACAUUAAGUUAUUAUCAAAAGAAGUUUAAAUUAUAAUUCCUAAAUAUUGAUUUUACCAUGCUUGACAUAACAGAUAAAAGAUCCAACUAAUUUGCCUGGACCUGUUAAAGAUUUGGUUGGGAAGACUUUCCAGUUUGUGCUCAGUAUUGGAAAGGAGAACAUCAAUGAAACAGAUGACACAUACAAGGUGUUUAACGUCUGGUUGGGUAAUGAUUUAUACGAUCUUGAUAAUGUUGAAGAAUCCGAGAACCAGAUUGAUCAAGCUAAUGAUCUGUCUAUUGAUCAGGUAAUUUAAACAAUUGGUGCACCCAAACAAGUUCUAUCAAAUACUUAUUCAACUAUAUCACUAAAGGGCAGGAUCUUAUUCAAAGAUUAGUGAGUACCACCUAUUGUUUUCUAAUAUCAAAUAGUGUACUGGAAAUUUUUAAGACUGUUGGCAUCAAAUCUCUUAUAUACAACUUUCACUAAUAUAUAGAUGGUCACUGGUUUGAAACAGGAAGCUCUUGCUUUGACUAAUAGCAGUGACACAACAGAUGUAAACACUACUUCUUCUGCAACUCCUUCUUCAAAAAGAAGUAAUGAAAGUUCUGACGAAGCUGAAGGGCAGUCUUCUACUACCAAAAAGGUUUGUGUAUCUUCAAUUCGUGAGAAGAUUGAAGAGGAUAAGAUUGAAGAGGAGAAGAUUGAAAAGCAGAAGAUUGGAGUAUUGAAGAUUGAAGAGGAGAAGGUGGAAGGGGAGAAAAUUGAACCUAAUUAGAUUUAGGGAGCUAUGCUAAAGUGUUGCGGGUUUGAUGCAUGGAAGUUGUUCUAUUUCAAUGGUUUUUAUGUUUUUCCUCAUUCCAGAAUUAUUCAGUUAUUUUGAUUCAUGUUUGCUACUCCAGCUAUUUUCAUUUCAAUAAAAACUUCCAGAUUUAGAGUUUACUAACCUCUUGAAAGAUCUUUCUCAUACAUGAAUAAGGUCCACUUCCAAGCAAUUUCUACCUUCAGUAAUCCUGG
Molecule: long non-coding RNA, 3559 nt
Filed under: Arabidopsis lyrata
Lineage: Eukaryota; Viridiplantae; Streptophyta; Magnoliopsida; Brassicales; Brassicaceae
Description: long non-coding RNA (ALYR_LNC001829)
Source: RNAcentral